Long non-coding RNA from Ceratitis capitata (Mediterranean fruit fly), 461 nucleotides. RefSeq lists it as uncharacterized. The record is from RefSeq and is a predicted model, not a curated record. The transcript is spliced from 3 exons. NCBI's taxonomy places the organism in Eukaryota, Metazoa, Arthropoda, Insecta, Diptera, Tephritidae.
GAAAAAUUUAGCAGAUUGAUGAAAGCUGAUUCGGUCUAAAGUCUGAAGGGCGCUGAGUUUUGGAGAUAAUUGAAGACGGGCAAGAUGAUUUACGUUUGGAGGUUUGUCAUGAAAAUGUCAGGUCAGCGGAGGGGCUAAUGCUACUGAAUAAGGAACACGUCGCAUAAGGCUCGAUAAUCUACAUAGUACAUUAUUUCAUUUGGCCGCGCUUUAAAAAACCCCUGGACCGGAUCAUCACCAGCUUCGCCUUGAACGGUGAUUUUAAGCGAAAAAAAUUUUAUUUUUCGGUAUAUGUAAAAUUACUUAUGCCAACAAAUGUCCCAGGAAGCAAAAGCUCCAAACUAAAGUCAGCCCAAAUACGAUAUAUGUUCUCGUAUGUACAUAGUAUAGUUUAAGUUCAUUAAAUAUGUUCUUUUGCUAAUGAGUUCAAUCAAUCUAAAAUAUAAUCACAAACCGGUCUA